This 396-nucleotide long non-coding RNA is filed under the name Rattus norvegicus (Norway rat). RNAcentral describes it as "long non-coding RNA NONRATT029311". The record is from RNAcentral. Lineage: Eukaryota; Metazoa; Chordata; Mammalia; Rodentia; Muridae.
UAGAGAAUGGCUGAUAGUCCAGGGUGAGCCAGUGUGUCUGUGCAAGCGUGCGUGUGUACGUGCACAUGUGUGCUGCUUAGAGGAACAGCUCAGUGUGGCACUGACCAGCACAGAGCACUCACCCCUUCCCUGGCUGAUGUGAAGGCCCAUCCCUCAGCCCCCUCCCCACAGUCCCUCCUACCCACAUCUCACUUGCCUCUCCUCUUCUGUUCCCCUUUCCCAGCAGCACCUUCGGCUAAGGGGAAAGCGGAGCAAUCAGAGGAAGGUGACCUCCAGGAGCCCCCUGUGUCCCCCAAGCCUCAAGAUGAGCAGAGCAAGAGCCAGAGCCCCAUCCAGCUUGAGGACUCCCCUAAGGCAGGUGGGGAGCAGGAGGAAGAACAGGCCUUCCUGGUCAGC